Molecule: long non-coding RNA, 542 nt
Filed under: Bos taurus (domestic cattle)
Lineage: Eukaryota; Metazoa; Chordata; Mammalia; Artiodactyla; Bovidae
Description: long non-coding RNA NONBTAT014805
Source: RNAcentral
GCGAACGGGAAAGUCUGUGUUACUCAGGAAUAAAAUGUUGAUCCCUGAGUGUGGCUACUAAGAUUUAAACAGGUUUUCAGGGAACAGGUGAAAUGUAUGGACUGGAGCUAGUCUCCUAGUUGGUGUAUUAAAUCUGACAGUUUCCUGGAGGUAAAUUUAUUCAUUCUGGGAAAAUGGGCUUUCCCAUAGCCUGGUGUCCAGGUUACUGGGAUGGGCUAUUGCUAAGGAAUCAAGCGUGUUACUGUCCUUCGGCCAACUAGACCUCGUUUUUUCCACAAAAUCUGAAAUAACUUAAAGCACCAGAAGCAGUUAUGGAGACCAGCCUGUUUGACCUUGAGCCGCAGUGUUGGUGAUGCACGGCAGAGGCGCCUGUGCCGCGUGCUUGGAGGAUGCGACAGUCUACCACGUGGAUUUUUAAUAAUUCUUGCAUGUCAUUGCUGUAACGUACAUUUUUGAGGCAAUCGUGAAACUGAUGUGUGUGUGAUUGUUGGUGUGCUCUGUUGUAAAUUCAAAGAGCUUGUUCAAGUUUUUUUUUUUACUUA